GAUGAACGCUGGCGGCGUGCCUAAUACAUGCAAGUCGAGCGAACGGACGAGAAGCUUGCUUCUCUGAUGUUAGCGGCGGACGGUGAGUAACACGUGGAUAACCUACCUAUAAGACUGGGAUAACUUCGGGAAACCGGAGCUAAUACCGGAUAAUAUUUUGAACCGCAUGGUUCAAAAGUGAAAGACGGUCUUGCUGUCACUUAUAGAUGGAUCCGCGCUGCAUUAGCUAGUUGGUAAGGUAACGGCUUACCAAGGCAACGAUGCAUAGCCGACCUGAGAGGGUGAUCGGCCACACUGGAACUGAGACACGGUCCAGACUCCUACGGGAGGCAGCAGUAGGGAAUCUUCCGCAAUGGGCGAAAGCCUGACGGAGCAACGCCGCGUGAGUGAUGAAGGUCUUCGGAUCGUAAAACUCUGUUAUUAGGGAAGAACAUAUGUGUAAGUAACUGUGCACAUCUUGACGGUACCUAAUCAGAAAGCCACGGCUAACUACGUG
Molecule: ribosomal RNA, 496 nt
Filed under: uncultured bacterium
Lineage: Bacteria
Description: partial 16S ribosomal RNA
Rfam family: Bacterial small subunit ribosomal RNA
Source: RNAcentral